GAUGAAGAACGUAGCGAAAUGCGAUAAGUAAUGUGAAUUGCAGAAUUCAGUGAAUCAUCGAAUCUUUGAACGCACAUUGCGCCCCCUGGCAUUCCGGGGGGCAUGCCUGUCCGAGCGUCAUUUCUGCCCUCCAGCCCGGCUGGGUGUUGGGCGCUGUCCCCCCGGGGACACGCCCCAAAGGCAGUGGCGGCGCCGCGUCGGGUCCUCGAGCGUAUGGGGCUUUGUCACCCGCUCGGGACGGACUCGUCGGCGCUGGUCUUCCUCCAGGCGACCCUUCGGGGCUCGUCUUCCUUCGGUUGACCUCGGAUCAGGUAGGGUUACCCGCUGAACUUAAGCAUAUCAAUAAGCGGAGGA
RNAcentral lists this unclassified non-coding RNA (354 nucleotides) under soil metagenome. RNAcentral describes it as "partial contains 5.8S ribosomal RNA, internal transcribed spacer 2, and large subunit ribosomal RNA". The stretch from base 1 to 120 matches the Rfam family "5.8S ribosomal RNA", at positions 35 to 154 of the family's 154-position model. The record is from RNAcentral.